Molecule: ribosomal RNA, 521 nt
Filed under: uncultured bacterium
Lineage: Bacteria
Description: bacterial SSU rRNA
Rfam family: Archaeal small subunit ribosomal RNA
Source: RNAcentral
AACCUCCGCAAUGUGAGAAAUCGCGACGGGGGGAUCCCAAGUGCCAUUCUUAACGGGAUGGCUUUUCAUUAGUGUAAAGAGCUUUUGGAAUAAGAGCUGGGCAAGACCGGUGCCAGCCGCCGCGGUAACACCGGCAGCUCUAGUGGUAACAAUUUUUAUUGGGCCUAAAGCGUCCGUAGCCGGUUUAAUAAGUCUCUGGUGAAAUCCUGUAGCUUAACUGUGGGAAUUGCUGGAGAUACUAUUAGACUUGAGACCGGGAGAGGUUAGAGGUACUCCCAGGGUAGAGGUGAAAUUCUGUAAUCCUGGGAGGACCGCCUGUUGCGAAGGCGUCUAACUGGAACGGUUCUGACGGUGAGGGACGAAAGUUAGGGGCGCGAACCGGAUUAGAUACCCGGGUAGUCCUAACUGUAAACGAUGCGGACUUGGUGUUGGGGUGGCUUUGAGCUGCUUCAGUGCCGAAGGGAAGCUGUUAAGUCCGCCGCCUGGGAAGUACGGUCGCAAGACUGAAACUUAAAGGAAUU